RNAcentral lists this ribosomal RNA (512 nucleotides) under uncultured bacterium. RNAcentral describes it as "bacterial SSU rRNA". It matches the Rfam family "Bacterial small subunit ribosomal RNA", at positions 34 to 518 of the family's 1533-position model. The record is from RNAcentral.
CGCUGGCGGCGUGCCUAAUACAUGCAAGUCGAACGGCUUUUCUAUGGAAGCUUGCUUCCACUGAGAAGAUAGUGGCGAACGGGUGAGUAACACGUGGGUAACCUGCCCAUAAGAGGGGGAUAACAUCCGGAAACGGGUGCUAAUACCGCAUAGUUUUCUUGAUCGCAUGAUUGAGAAAGGAAAGACGGCCUUUGUGCUGUCGCUUAUGGAUGGACCCGCGGCGUAUUAGUUAGUUGGUGAGGUAACGGCUCACCAAGACGAUGAUACGUAGCCGACCUGAGAGGGUGAUCGGCCACAUUGGGACUGAGACACGGCCCAAACUCCUACGGGAGGCAGCAGUAGGGAAUCUUCCGCAAUGGACGAAAGUCUGACGGAGCAACGCCGCGUGAGUGAAGAAGGUUUUUCCGGAUCGUAAAACUCUGUUGUCAGAGAAGAACAAGUUGGAGAGUAACUGCUCCAGCCUUGACGGUAUCUGACCAGAAAGCCACGGCUAACUACGUGCCAGCCGCUGC